GAUGAACUGUGCAGAAAACAAAGUAUAACGAUCAGAAAGCUGCAUGGCGCGAUUAGUUUUGUCGGACCCGAACGAGUGUGACCGACGGUCGUUAGGGUUACGACUUAUAUAUAUUAUAUAUGCGUACAAGUAUUAUACAUAUAUAUAUAACGGAAAAGAUACUAGGAAUGUGUGAGAGAGGGAAAGGGAAGAAAAAUAUAGUGUACCUAUGUUAAAGAGAGAAUAAAAGAUCAGAGGUACAACUGAUCACUGUCCGACGCGAACUGGCCAACACCCGACAAGACAGCCGACCCGAUGGUACGUGUCUCACUAAGCUGCGAUUGCGACCUUGAGGUCUUGGCCAAUGUUUUCACCAGGCGACACGUUCAGCCUUGGCGCCGAGCAUCAAAAUACGUUAUUAUGGACUUGUCGGGCGAAAACAGAAGGGGUACGUGGAGGAGAGGAAGAGGCACAAAAUUUUCUAUUACAUUAUAUACUAGUGGUGAAAUUGGAAACCGAUCAAAAACGAAAGCGGUUUUCAGCAAAAUUCGCGAAAAAACUCAACACCAGUUACGAUCAUCUUAUAGGAAAUUCGGUCAGUCUUGUAACCACUACUUUUAGGACUGGCUUUUUUUAAUUCACUGAAUCAUUAAAUGCGUACAAUUUAUUAAUUAUA
Aphis gossypii (cotton aphid) is the source of this 655-nucleotide long non-coding RNA. RefSeq lists it as uncharacterized. The record is from RefSeq and is a predicted model, not a curated record. The transcript has 2 exons. Lineage: Eukaryota; Metazoa; Arthropoda; Insecta; Hemiptera; Aphididae.